This 493-nucleotide ribosomal RNA is filed under the name uncultured Glomus. RNAcentral's name for it is "SSU rRNA". It matches the Rfam family "Eukaryotic small subunit ribosomal RNA", at positions 568 to 1066 of the family's 1831-position model. The record is from RNAcentral. Lineage: Eukaryota; Fungi; Glomeromycota; Glomeromycetes; Glomerales; Glomeraceae.
ACGCAGCCGCGGUAAUUCCAGCUCCAAUAGCGUAGUAUUAAAGUUGUUGCAGUUAAAAAGCUCGUAGUUGAAUUUCGGGAUUAGUACGUUGGUCGUGCCUAUGGUAUGCACUGGCUUUACUGAUUCCUCCUUCUUGAAGAACUGUAAUGUCAUUAAUUUGGUGUUGCAGGGAAACAGGACUGUUACUUUGAAAAAUUAGAGUGUUUAAAGCAGGCUAACGCUUGAAUACAUUAGCAUGGAAUAAUGAAAUAGGACGUUUGAUCCUAUUUUGUUGGUUUCUAGGAUUGACGUAAUGAUUAAUAGGGAUAGUUGGGGGCAUUAGUAUUCAAUUGUCAGAGGUGAAAUUCUUGGAUUUAUUGAAGACUAACUACUGCGAAAGCAUUUGCCAAGGAUGUUUUCAUUAAUCAAGACGAAGUUAGGGGAUCGAAGACGAUCAGAUACCGUCGUAGUCUUAACCAUAAACUAUAGCCGACUAGGGAUCGGAUGAUGUUAA